GCGCCCGUAGCUCAGCUGGAUAGAGUACCGCCCUCCGAAGGCGGGGGUCACAGGUUCAAAUCCUGUCGGGCGCGCCA
This 77-nucleotide transfer RNA is filed under the name Shewanella sp. RNAcentral describes it as "tRNA-Arg". It matches the Rfam family "tRNA". Rfam says of the family: Transfer RNA (tRNA) molecules are approximately 80 nucleotides in length. Their secondary structure includes four short double-helical elements and three loops (D, anti-codon, and T loops). The record is from RNAcentral. RNAcentral also lists the same sequence under 56 other names. Lineage: Bacteria; Pseudomonadati; Pseudomonadota; Gammaproteobacteria; Alteromonadales; Shewanellaceae.